Molecule: ribosomal RNA, 609 nt
Filed under: uncultured bacterium
Lineage: Bacteria
Description: bacterial SSU rRNA
Rfam family: Bacterial small subunit ribosomal RNA (bases 1-513)
Source: RNAcentral
CCUACGGGAGGCGGCAGUGGGGAAUAUUGGACAAUGGGCGAAAGCCUGAUCCAGCAAUGCCGCGUGAGUGAUGAAGGCCUUAGGGUUGUAAAGCUCUUUUACCCGAGAUGAUAAUGACAGUAUCGGGAGAAUAAGCUCCGGCUAACUCCGUGCCAGCAGCCGCGGUAAUACGGAGGGAGCUAGCGUUGUUCGGAAUUACUGGGCGUAAAGCGCACGUAGGCGGCGAUCUAAGUCAGAGGUGAAAGCCCGGGGCUCAACCCCGGAAUUGCCUUUGAGACUGGAUUGCUUGAAUCCAGGAGAGGUGAGUGGAAUUCCGAGUGUAGAGGUGAAAUUCGUAGAUAUUCGGAAGAACACCAGUGGCGAAGGCGGCUCACUGGACUGGUAUUGACGCUGAGGUGCGAAAGCGUGAGGAGCAAACAGGAUUAGAUACCCUGGUAGUCCACGCCGUAAACGAUGAUAACUAGCUGUCUGGGUGCANGNCUAGUGGNGCAGCUACGCAUUAAGUUAGUCGCCGUGGGUAGGUACGGUCGCGAGUAAGUUAAACUUAAAUUAGUUAAGUUAGUUACGGCGUGAGACGUUGCCGACGGACGACGACGAGGGGAGGUUAGG